RNAcentral lists this long non-coding RNA (1008 nucleotides) under Gallus gallus (chicken). Its description in RNAcentral is "lncRNA (ENSGALG00010026046.1)". Lineage: Eukaryota; Metazoa; Chordata; Aves; Galliformes; Phasianidae. The record is from RNAcentral.
CAGAGACCAGAUUGCAGCUUAUGGGCUGAGGGACGGCAGAAGGAAGAGCAGGGCUGUGCCUUACACUGGCCUUGCUGGAUGCGGGCUGUUCUGCACGGCCACGCAGUUCGCAAUUCCUGAAACUCAGUUGGUAAAGAUGUUUUGUGCUUGUCAGCUUCCCUGACUUGGAAUGGUGCGUGCGUGGGUGAGGUCUGCCAGGGGCAGCGCUCAGGAAAGGCAAAGGUUUUGCCUUUCGUACCUUUCGUACGAAGGAAAAGGAACCUUUCGUACCACCGAGGAUGGCAGAAGCCACUUUGAGAGCAUUUAGUGCUCACUCACAGCGAGGUGACGUGAAUGUUUUUGUCUGAACGUGGGCCCACCGACCAGAAAGACCAGUGAAAGCAGUGCAUGGAGGUGUGCCCUGUGCGUGCUGCCGGCUGUCCCCACGUGUGCCGCCCCCAGCAGCAACAGCUCCGCUUUCUGCUCAGGGGACUGUGUGUGCCCACCUGUGUGUGAGCGCCCGAUGGUUUUACCGUGCCACUGCUACAAGAGAUGCGGUGCAGUGUGUUGACUGCAAUUACGGCUUCCUUCAUACCGAGUUCCAAAGAAAGAGUUUGUUAAUUUUGAUAAUCCGUGCCUUGAAUUCAUGUCUGUCUGUCUGUCACGGAGAAGAGUUGGGGUUGCCCCUCCUGGCCUCGGUCAGGGCCAGCUGUUCCUCUGGGAGAGAGAAGCGCUGCCGCCCGUCGGCAAUGAGCGCAGCACGGCCUGUUUGGUCACGCCGAAGAUGCUUCGUUACGGCAGCGCUGCGGCGGAUGGAACCGCGGAGUUCGUCUCUGUGCCGUCUGCUCACAGCGCUGCCCGGGUCAGCCCUCAGCGCGGGGCUGUGCCGGUGGUGCUGACAGCGGGAAGGCGGUUCUGAAAUGUAGCACCAUUGCAGUAACAUUUACUAUUGCAUUUAAGCAUAUUUCUUGCAUAAUUCUUUGAUUUUUUUUUUUUAAGUUCGAUGUACCUAAUAAACAUUUGACUUUG